Molecule: ribosomal RNA, 253 nt
Filed under: uncultured bacterium
Lineage: Bacteria
Description: partial 16S ribosomal RNA
Rfam family: Bacterial small subunit ribosomal RNA
Source: RNAcentral
UACGUAGGGUGCGAGCGUUAAUCGGAAUUACUGGGCGUAAAGCGUGCGCAGGCGGUUCGUUGUGUCGGUGGUGAAAUCCCCGGGCUUAACCUGGGAAUGGCCAUGGAAACUGGCGAACUGGAGUGCGGCAGAGGGGGGUGGAAUUCCGCGUGUAGCAGUGAAAUGCGUAGAGAUGCGGAGGAACACCGAUGGCGAAGGCAGCCCACUGGGCUAGCACUGACGCUCAGGCACGAAAGCGUGGGGAGCAAACAGG